RNAcentral lists this ribosomal RNA (449 nucleotides) under uncultured bacterium. RNAcentral's name for it is "SSU rRNA". It matches the Rfam family "Bacterial small subunit ribosomal RNA", at positions 26 to 518 of the family's 1533-position model. The record is from RNAcentral.
AGAACGAACGCUGGCGGCAGGCCUCAAACAUGCAAGUCUAGGGGGUGUAGCAAUACAUCACCGGCGGACGGGUGCGUAACGCGUGGGAAUGUACCUAUUGGUUCGGAACAACUGAGGGAAACUUCAGCUAAUACCGGAUGAGCCCGAAAGGGGAAAGAUUUCUCGCCAAUAGAUCAGCCCGCGUCCGAUUAGCUAGUUGGUGGGGUUAAAGCCUACCAAGGCGACGAUCGGUAGCUGUUCUGAGAGGAAGAUCAGCCACACUGGGACUGAGACACGGCCCAGACUCCUACGGGAGGCAGCAGUUGGGAAUCUUGGACAAUGGGGGAAACCCUGAUCCAGCCAUGCCGCGUGAGUGAUGAAGGCCUUCGGGUUGUAAAACUCUUUCGACGGGGACGAUAAUGACGGUACCCGUAGAAGAAGCGUCCGGCUAACUUCGUGCCAGCAGCCGC